RNAcentral lists this long non-coding RNA (1998 nucleotides) under Helianthus annuus (common sunflower). RNAcentral's name for it is "hypothetical non coding rna". Lineage: Eukaryota; Viridiplantae; Streptophyta; Magnoliopsida; Asterales; Asteraceae. The record is from RNAcentral.
UGAGAUCCACCACAAAAUCCACAAUCUUCUCACCAUUCUUGUCAUCUUUGACCUCCAUUGGCGAAUGAAGUCUGGAAAGAAGGAUUUGGAUUCUUACACUAUCAAAGGCACUAACAAAGUUGUUCAAAGUAUCUUGCCUGGCUAAUCAGGGAGAUGAAGGUACCACCACCGUCGAUGUAUGACUCAUUUGUGAGAUUGGACGGUUACAAGAGGACGAUUGGUGGCCAUUUAUGCUGUAGAAAGAACAGGGUGCUACGGUUUGGGAAAAAAAAUAAUGUUUCUUCUUCUUCAAAGCCUCUGACCCUCUCACGAACACACACAUAACCCUUUGAUUUUGGAUCAUUUGGUGUAUAUUAAUUGACCCGAUUGGAGGUGAUGCAUCAUUAUGAAUUUGGUUCUGAUUUGACGAGGCUAUAUUUUUUAUCAACAGGUUUUGCAUGAUUUGUUAAUAGUGGAGAAGGUAUGGUUUAAGGUUCUAGGAGUUUUAAGUAAAAAGUUUUAUAAGUUUUGGGGAUUUUGUGCUGCAAGUAUCUUUUGGAUUAGGUUUCAAGGAUGCUAAUUUUUUUUUUAUAAAAUAAUUACUAAUUUCAAGUUUGUUGAAAUUGAAAGCAAAAAUAGAAGCUUUGAUUUUUUGCAGGAAUUUCUUUCUUCUGGGUUCUUGAAUUGAGGGAAUAAGACGAGCCAGGGAUGACCUCGAAUUUUAACAGUAGGCACAUAAUUCUCUACAUAAGAAAGAAUGGAAAGCAUCCUAAUCCCGUGUUACUUUUAAAGAAGAUCUCAUUUUACUCACGUUUCACAGGAACUUUUAAGGUGUUAUUUAAUCUGCUCUGCUACUCUCAUAUUCAAAUUUGUUUUUUCAUUAUUGGAUGCACCAGGUGACUUGCUGUUUUGUUCUCUAUUAUAUUAUUAGUAUAUGUAAAAUAUGUUAUGAUGCUAUAUGUUAUCUAUCAAAAUGAGUAAUGACAGCUAGAUUAUUUGCUGGGUAUUUCCACUCAUGUCUUUCAUUUGACAUUUAUUUUGAAUCUUUAAUUCACCUUUCAUUUGACGAUGGCGAUUAAAAGAUCUAGUCCGGCGGUUUGGUGAAAAAUACAGAGAAAAUAAAGGGGGGGGGGGGGGGAUAAAACCGUACUAACAACGUUAUGUGGGAGGGUAGAACCGUGCUAAUUAGGGAUGAGCACAAUACCCAUUCGGUACCGAAAAACGAGGAAAAGUGGUACCGGUACCGGUGUUUUACCCAUAAAUACCGGUACCGUACCGGUAUCAAAAAACGGAGAAAAUGGGAACCGGUACCGAAUAUACACGAUUCGGUACCGGUACCCGGUACCAAAUGCUCAUACCUAGUGCUAAGUAGAAAGCCAAUAACGACCGAAACCGAGAAAAAGUGUAAAAUAAAAAAAAAAACAUGAAUUAUAAUACCAAAUAACUCACGUGACAUAAAACGUAGACAGACUCACAAUUAUACAACACAUAUUAGAAAAUUGAGGGGUCAAAUAGUUUUUAGAAAAUGGGGGGGGGGGGGGGUGAAAACUUUAAAACUAAAAGUUCCACCACAAAGGAUUAGUGUGUAAUGUGGUGGUGGCUAUUCUUGUUUGUAAAAGUGAGAUUAUUAAAAACCAAUUUUCCUUAGUUUUUCUAUAAAAAUGUUAGCCUGCUAGUGUAAAACUUUAUUAAUUUUUUUGUAAAAUGAUUUUUUUGCACUAUUAUGACUAGAGUUUAAUAAAUAUUUGUUGAAAACUAAAAUCUAGGUCAAAGAUGAAGUUUUCCUCAAAUACAUUUUAAACUUUACCGACACUGUAGCAAGUGGAAGGGUCUAGAGCUUAGACCCAAAUGAUCUAGUUGGUGGUACAAAGAUUGGACUAGAAGGGUGUGAGGUAAACGUUCAAGUACCAAUAAAAAAAAGAUGAAAACUUGGUUAGACCAUAUGGUUUAUUUUCUACAAUUCAAGAUUGUAUUGGUGCAUCCAUCGCAUGGCCCUAUCCAUUCAUCUCGGUAGUCUAU